AUUGAACGCUAGCGGGAUGCUUUACACAUGCAAGUCGAACGAGCGGCGGACGGGUGAGUAAUAUCUCGGAACGUGCCCAGUAGCGGGGGAUAACUACUGGAAAGAGUGGCUAAUACCGCAUACCAUCAGAUGGGCCGAUAUCGGAUUAGCUAGUAGGUGGGGUAAAGGCUCACCAAGGCAACGAUCCGUAGCUGGUUUGAGAGGAUGACCAGCCACACUGGGAAUGAGACACGGCCCAGACUCCUACGGGAGGCAGCAGUGGGGAAUUUUGGACAAUGGGGGAAACCCUGCUCCAGCCAUCCCGCGUGUAUGAGAAGGCCUUCGGGUUGUAAAGUACUUUUGGCCGGGAAGCGGUAUCUGCAGAAUAAGCACCGGCCAACUACGUGCCAGCAGCCGCGGUAAUUC
This 405-nucleotide ribosomal RNA is filed under the name uncultured bacterium. Its description in RNAcentral is "partial 16S ribosomal RNA". It matches the Rfam family "Bacterial small subunit ribosomal RNA", at positions 30 to 526 of the family's 1533-position model. The record is from RNAcentral.